GCCUAGAGUAAUAAGAUUAGUAUAGACAUGGUGUCUAGACUACAUCUUGUUAGUGUGGGCUGCUUGUCGCACUGCAAGACACCUAUAGCGAGAGUGACAGUCCUCUCUAGGUGGAAAGUUCCUUGUUUAUGUGUUAGGCAAGUUAACAACAGUGAAAGCCGGGCUGAGUAGGGUGCUGCCUCGGUAGGGGAGGAGGUGGAAAACCGCUUUAACUCGCUCUACCAUUUCAGUUACUACCCCCUGUAAGGGAGGAGGUGGUAAACGUCACUUUACGUAGAGUAUCGUGACCAGAUAUUAGUGCUAGUUAGACCUCUCUAUACCCAACCUUUACCCUUUGAUCACAUCAUGUCAAUCUUGAACCUAGUUAGUUCACUUCAUGUUCCCCCUUGAAAAUACAAUACCUGGAACACUUGCGGUGAAGGCUACAUUGACUAGGCCUGGGCAAAUUACCCGAUACCCAUUACCCGUACCCAAUUACCUCGACCCGGACCCGAAUUACCCAAACCCGAGGUACCCGAUCCUAAAUUCGGAUAGUGAUUUUGAUUAGCCAAAAUUAGUUUGGAUAAUUCGGGUAAUACCCCCCG
Molecule: long non-coding RNA, 584 nt
Filed under: Sorghum bicolor (sorghum)
Lineage: Eukaryota; Viridiplantae; Streptophyta; Magnoliopsida; Poales; Poaceae
Description: long non-coding RNA (SBIC_LNC008026)
Source: RNAcentral